RNAcentral lists this ribosomal RNA (301 nucleotides) under uncultured bacterium. RNAcentral's name for it is "partial 16S ribosomal RNA". It matches the Rfam family "Bacterial small subunit ribosomal RNA", at positions 509 to 807 of the family's 1533-position model. The record is from RNAcentral.
CAGCCGCCGCGGUAAUACAGAGGAUGCAAGCGUUAUCCGGAAUGAUUGGGCGUAAAGCGUCUGUAGGUGGCUUUUCAAGUCCGCCGUCAAAUCCCAGGGCUCAACCCUGGACAGGCGGUGGAAACUACCAAGCUGGAGUACGGUAGGGGCAGAGGGAAUUUCCAGUGGAGCGGUGAAAUGCGUUGAGGUCGAAAAGAACACCAACAGCGAAAGCACUCUGCUGGGACGACACUGACACUAAGAGACGAAAGCUAGGGGAGCAAAUGGGAUUAGAGACCCCCGUAGUCCCUGUCUCUUAUAC